GAAGACACAGAGCCAUUGGUGCUGAUUCAAGCCAGAACGGAUAUCCCCUGGCUGUAUAGCAGGUCAACAAAGAGAGAAAACAGUAGGUGGUCCUGCCUACUGCUGGAUUAAGUUCAAAGCCUGGAAAGAAAUUUGCAUUUGGAGGGCAGAUACAAGGAGGUAUGUUUUAUUGAAUCUCUGGUACCUUACCCUUUUUCAAGUUCAUAAUGCGUAUGUUGGAU
This 221-nucleotide long non-coding RNA is filed under the name Dasypus novemcinctus (nine-banded armadillo). Its description in RNAcentral is "lncRNA (ENSDNOG00000051968.1)". The record is from RNAcentral. Lineage: Eukaryota; Metazoa; Chordata; Mammalia; Cingulata; Dasypodidae.